AGAUAUGGCUCAGCAGUUGAGAGCUCUGACUGCUCUUCCAGAGGACCUGGGUUCAAUUCCCAGUACCU
RNAcentral lists this transfer RNA (68 nucleotides) under Cricetulus griseus (Chinese hamster). It matches the Rfam family "tRNA". Rfam says of the family: Transfer RNA (tRNA) molecules are approximately 80 nucleotides in length. Lineage: Eukaryota; Metazoa; Chordata; Mammalia; Rodentia; Cricetidae. The record is from Rfam by way of RNAcentral.